ACAGCCACCACUGCCAGCCGCUUCUACAGGAUCGACCGCGCCCAGGUGAGCGAUUGCAGGCCUGCUCCAGCCACAGCUGCUUCCAGGCCCCAGGGUCGCCUCUCCUGGGACGCCUUCCCUGUUAGCUCCCCCGAUGGGCUCACCUCUGUCCUCAUGCCUCUGAGGGCUUUUACUAUUGCCUGUGUGCAUGGACAGCGCGCGGCCCUGCCCUCCACACUGGAGAGUAUAGGGCGGUGCCAGCCAGAAAGGCAGUGGGGUACCUACCAAAGGCUUGCUGGGUGGGUAGGAGGGCCUGGAAGCCCAGAGCCAUCCAGGGAGACACAGAAGCAAAGGCACUCUGGUCAGGCGCCAGCUCACCUGGUAAAGUCUGGGCAGUCGGAGGAGGUGUCAGGAAUGGGAAGGAGUGGGAGAGGGACAGGCAGGGCCCCUUGCCUGGCCACCUCCUUUCAGUGUUUGUGCUCAUGGCAGAGGCUUCUCCAGGUCUACCAGCCUUGCUGCCCCUCGGCCCCCACCGUCAGGUGCCCUGACCUCCCGCCCUGACCUCCCCCCACAGGAGCACCUCAACUAUGUGACUGAGAUCGCACAGGAUGAGAUUUAUAUCCUGGACCCUGAGCUGCUGGGGGCAUCGGCCCGGCCUGACCUCCCAACCCCCACUUCCCCUCUCCCCACCUCACCCUGCUCACCCACGCCCCGGUGAGUCCUGGUGUCCCGUCCCUCCAGCCCCUGGCUUUCAGCCCCACCUGUAAGCCGAUGACUUCUGAAUCCCUGCUUCCAGCCCCUCCACCAGUUAACUAAAUGGUGUCAACCUGAACCUGGCCAAAGCCCACCUGACGGCCUUCAGCCCUGCGGUUCUCUGGGGAAGCGGCCUCACGUCCACCCUGGUUCCCUCCCUGACUUCUCCCUCCUCUGGACCUCAUCCUUCAGCCAGUCCUGGCAGCCCCCGGACCCACCACCUGAGCACUCCUCCCCACCCCUACUGCCACCAGCCCUUCCUGGCUGCCACGCCCUGGCCCCCAGCUCUUGUAUCCCUGUGGCCAUUCGUGCCCUCGAACCCCCAUCUCCAUACCACGGUCAACUAAAAAUGCAGAACAUACCAGGCCACUCCCCAACCUAGAAGCUUCUUUCUCAGCAGCCCUUUGGACGUGGAUUCUCCCCAGGCCCCCCGUCAUUGCACUGGGCUCCCAGCCCCCUCCCUGAGUUCACCUCCAUGGUCCUGCCCCACUCUCUUCUCUUGGUUCUUUGAGGCGUCAGGUGUUUGCCACCACUGGACUUCUGUCAUCGCUGCCUCCAACUCUUCCCCCAUCUUUCCGGAGCUCCCCCACCCCCAUCCCCUUUGAAUCUCAGCUUGGCUGUUUCCUCCUUGGAGAGAUCACUCCCAGGACCCCCUCUGCAGGGGGGCCACAUCACCUGUUCUGAAUUCUUCAGAGCACCCCUGCUCUCAGAACUCCUUAUUUAUUUGACUUGUUUGCAUCCCUGAACUAGAAUGUAAGCUCCAUGAGGGCAAGGCCUUCCUCUGUCUCGUUUCCCUGCUGUAUCCCCAGUGCCUGGAAUAGUGCUUGGUGUGUAGCAGGCACUCAAUAAACUGUGGAAAGGAUGAAGAUGCCCCCAGUUGGGGUUGGGGAGGGCGACCAGCUGGCCUGUGCCGUAGCCGGUCACAGCACAUCAUGCUCUGUUGCAGGUCACUGCAAGGGGAUGCUGCACCCCCUCAAGGUGAGGCCUCUCCCUCUGGGGCCCCUCCUUUCUGCCUGGUUGGGGGCAGGAGGCUCAGUGGGGUGGGGAUAGGGCCCAGACACAGCCUUACACAAACACAGCCUUUGAGCUUCACGCACCAACCGAGCCCUGGGCACACACGCCCGGCCGGCACAGUCCUGUCCACUGAGGCACCAACCCAAGCCCAGGCCUCCGACUGCAGAGUAACAGGCAGGUAUUCCGUGCAGGUGAAGAGCUGAUUGAGGCUGCCAAGAGGAACGACUUCUGUAAGGUACUAGCUCCAGGCUCCAGUUCCUUCCCCCAGCAGCUCCCUCGGGCCCUGGGGAGCGAGGCCUCUGGGUUGGGCCAAGAGCUGACCUGCUCAGGUGCUGUCAUCUGUCAUCGUCUGGCCCUCUGUGGGAUCUCCAGUGAUCGUCCCAUUCCACUUCACUGUAUCUCUGUCUAGGCCACAAUAGAUGGCUCCUAGUAGGGGCUUCCUAGCUCAGUCCACUUGUCCCUGGUGCUUAGAAAGGAGCAGGUCAGAGGAAGCACUGCUCCAGGGCUUGGUCACCAAUGCUGCCAGAGAGCCCACAGGCUGUGGGGUGAGAGGCCCACAGAGGCAACUCGGGAGUAAGAUGUGUGAGCGCACUCGUUUCAGGCCUGUGCUGGUGUACCCGGCUGUGGGCCAGCGUGUGAGCUCGGGGAAGGAGGGGUGGCCCCAGGAGGUCCAGCCCUGCCAUGCCUCCUGCCCUCAGCUCCAGGAGCUGCACCGAGCUGGGGGCGACCUCAUGCACCGAGACGAGCAGAGUCGCACGCUCCUGCACCACGCAGUCAGCACUGGCAGCAAGGAUGUGGUCCGCUACCUGCUGGACCACGCCCCCCCAGAGAUCCUUGAUGCGGUGGAGGAAAAGUAAGUAUCUGGGCAGUGCAGAACCGUGGUCACCCCAGAAACCACCCUUUUCCCCACCCCUCCUAUUUUGUCAGGUCAGAGCCCAUAAACUUCCUGGUCACAUCUGUCAUCCCCUGGGCCACCCCUAUUGCCCCAGAGCCCUGAACUUCCUGCCCUUUCUGAUGGCCCUUGGGAGACAGAUGGGUGGAUCAGGGGACGGGAUGGGGUACACAGCCAGCCCCUGCUCCCCCAGCGGGGAGACCUGUUUGCACCAAGCAGCGGCCCUGGGCCAGCGCACCAUCUGCCACUACAUCGUGGAGGCCGGGGCCUCGCUCAUGAAGACAGACCAGCAGGGCGACACUCCCCGGCAGCGGGCUGAGAAGGCUCAGGACACCGAGCUGGCCGCCUACCUGGAGAACCGGCAGCACUACCAGAUGAUCCAGCGGGAGGACCAGGAGACGGCUGUGUAGCGGGCCGCCCGCGGGCAGCAGGAGGGACAAUGCGGCCAGGGGACGAGCGCCUUCCUUGCCCACCUCACUGCCACAUUCCAGUGGGACAGCCACGGGGGGACCUAGGCCCCAGGGAAAGAGCCCCAUGCCGCCCCCUAAGGAGCCGCCCAGACCUAGGGCUGGACUCAGGAGCUGGGGGGCCUCACCUGUUCCCCUGAGGACCCCGCCGGACCCGGAGGCUCACAGGGAACAGGACACGGCUGGGUUGGAUAUGCCUUUGCGGGGGUUCUGGGGCAGGGCGCUCCCUGGCCGCAGCAGAUGCCCUCCCAGGAGUGGAGGGGCUGGAGAGAGGGAGGCCUUCGGGAAGAGGCUUCCUGGGCCCCCUGGUCUUCGGCUGGGUCCCCAGCCCCCGAUCCUGCCCCACCCCACCUCCCCCGGGCUUCCUCCCGGAAACUCAGCGCCUGCUGCACUUGCCUGCCCUGCCUUGCUUGGCACCCGCUCCGGCGACCUUCCCCGCUCCCCUGUCAUUUCCUCGCGGACUGUGCGGCCUGGGGGUGGGGGGCGGGACUCUCACGGUGACAUGUUUACAGCUGGGUGUGACUCAGUAAAGUGGAUUUUUUUUUC
This 3651-nucleotide small RNA is filed under the name Pan troglodytes (chimpanzee). Its description in RNAcentral is "retained intron". Lineage: Eukaryota; Metazoa; Chordata; Mammalia; Primates; Hominidae. The record is from RNAcentral.